Long non-coding RNA from Oryzias latipes (Japanese medaka), 910 nucleotides. RefSeq lists it as uncharacterized. NCBI's taxonomy places the organism in Eukaryota, Metazoa, Chordata, Actinopteri, Beloniformes, Adrianichthyidae. The record is from RefSeq and is a predicted model, not a curated record.
CUGCCUCUCUAGGUUCCCGCAACUGUCAGUGCAGUGCCGUUGAUAUCACCACCACAUGUCACACAGCAGGUCGGCUUGUGACUGGCAUAAAGGUGCAUUGGGAACGGAGCGCAUCGCUCCCUGUUCCUCCCAGUGAUAUACCACACUGACUGGGCUUUUGAGGAACCCCGCUGCUGCUUGGACCAUUCACUCCACUGGUCCGACGGGUCAGCCGCUGGCAGCGGCUUCUCCUCUGCCGCCUCCCUUGUUGCCGACCAUGUGAGUGCAUAAGCGCUCCUGGGACUUGGAGGUCUGUUGGGGCUCGUGACCAUCUACCCCUCCCUGGCUACCUGAAACAGUGACUGACUGGUGCACAAGUUUCACUUGUUUGUGUUUCUUUUAUUUUUUGAUUUGGUUUUCACAAUGUAUACCUGCAUGUGGGUGGGGUAUUUUUAUUCUGUUUUGGUUUUUGUUGAGUACCAGCUCUGUUUGCACAUGGGCUUGAGGCCCCUAGUGUCUUUAUUCUGUUUUUUUGUUCUGUCUUUUAAACCUAUUUAUAAUCUUUUAAAUUUGGAACCACGUCUCCAUCUGGUUGAGUUCCCAUUUUUAUUAGUGUGCCUGAACCGCUUGUGUUGCCACAAUAACCUAAGCCAAGCGGAGCCAAGCCAAAACUCAUCAAGCCAAGCCAAGCCACAUUAAGCUAAGCAAAGCCAAGCCACUUUACGCCAGGAUGUCAGAGUCAUUAGGGGGUGUGAAACAAGAGAGGGGGUUUGGCUUGAGAUCACGUCAUCCUGGGCAGAAGGAAACAGAGUGAAAUCAAACUGACUGAAAAAUUAGGCCUAACAAGCUUGACGUGGGUUGAGUAUUUUGGCAGCACACAGAUACUCCUUGUGAUCUGUCCAAACUAAAAAGGAAUGUUCAGCCCAUCCAA